Molecule: ribosomal RNA, 322 nt
Filed under: uncultured Aminicenantes bacterium
Lineage: Bacteria; Candidatus Aminicenantota
Description: bacterial SSU rRNA
Rfam family: Bacterial small subunit ribosomal RNA
Source: RNAcentral
UCGUGCCGUGAGGUGUUGGGUUAAGUCCCGCAACGAGCGCAACCCUUACCCUUAGUGCCAGCGGGUAAUGCCGGGCACUCUAAGGGGACCGCCCCGGAUAACGGGGAGGAAGGCGGGGAUGACGUCAAGUCAGCAUGGCCUUUAUGUCCAGGGCUACACACGUGCUACAAUGGGCGAUACAGAGGGAAGCAAGGCCGCAAGGUAGAGCUAAUCCCUAAAGUCGUCCUCAGUUCGGAUUGCAGGCUGCAACUCGCCUGCAUGAAGUCGGAAUCGCUAGUAAUCGCGGAUCAGCUACGCCGCGGUGAAUACGUUCUCGGGCCUU